AAGUCGUAACAAGGUUUCCGUAGGUGAACCUGCGGAAGGAUCAUUACUGAAUGGCGUGGGCCUCGCUGUCGCGGUUCCAUGUUUCUUUGUUGCAAUGUUCGAAUGAUGGUUCACAUCAUCGAGCUGCAUCAUGCCGGCGUCUGCUUUGCACCCUAACCUUGUGGAAGUAUCAGGUCUUUGGUCUUCUACGUAUGUUUCUUUCACCACACAAAACCUGUCAUAGUAUGGCAUUGCGCUUUGAACAUACAUAAUAUAACUUUCAACAACGGAUCUCUUGGCUCUC
Molecule: unclassified non-coding RNA, 283 nt
Filed under: fungal sp.
Lineage: Eukaryota; Fungi
Description: partial internal transcribed spacer region
Rfam family: Eukaryotic small subunit ribosomal RNA (bases 1-46)
Source: RNAcentral